UCCAGACCCCUCGUGCUUUACCUCCUCCCUGCAUCUGCUCCGUGCCAGGCUGCAGUGGACUCUGGACCCCAAACGUGCUGGCUGCUUGCACGACACCGUGGCGCGUAUGCUCAUUUUGGCUGGGAACAUCCCUCGGGCAGAAUAGUAUCAGUGCUCUGGAAUCUCCGAUAAAACCCAUGAAGCACAACGAAGAGAGGAGAGGAAAAACAGGCAGAAGGAAAAGUACCCCUGGCAAAGAACAAGGACACUUGUAAAUGAGACAUUAUCCUUGGAGAUUUUCUUGGCUGAAAAUGUGAGUAAUUAAAAAUGUAAACAAAUAUUAUCCAUUACAUAUGCCACAAUAAUAAAU
RNAcentral lists this long non-coding RNA (349 nucleotides) under Struthio camelus australis. RNAcentral's name for it is "lncRNA (ENSSCUG00000009998.1)". Lineage: Eukaryota; Metazoa; Chordata; Aves; Struthioniformes; Struthionidae. The record is from RNAcentral.